CACGGAACUACAUUGACUCCAAGGAAGAUAUUCUGGUCUAUGCUACAAAGUUGAUUAAAGCUGAAAUGCCUAUUUCUUUGAGAUUGAUGGGGUUGCGGAUGUCUCAGCUACAUGAUGAGAAGGACGAUCCAUCUACUUCAACA
Molecule: long non-coding RNA, 143 nt
Organism: Zea mays
Lineage: Eukaryota; Viridiplantae; Streptophyta; Magnoliopsida; Poales; Poaceae
Exons: 2
Source: RefSeq, a predicted model, not a curated record